GACGAACGCUGGCGGCGUGCUUAACACAUGCAAGUCGAACGGUAAGGCCCUUUCGGGGGUACGACGAGUGGCGAACGGGUGAGUAACACGUGGGUGAUCUGCCCUGCACUCUGGGAUAAGCUUGAGAAAUCGGGUCUAAUACUGGAUAUGAGCUCCUGCUGCAUGGUGGGGGUUGGAAAGUUUUUCGGUGCAGGAUGGGCCCGCGGCCUAUCAGCUUGUUGGUGGGGUAAUGGCCUACCAAGGCGACGACGGGUAGCCGACCUGAGAGGGUGAUCGGCCACACUGGGACUGAGACACGGCCCAGACUCCUACGGGAGGCAGCAGUGGGGAAUAUUGCACAAUGGGCGGAAGCCUGAUGCAGCGACGCCGCGUGAGGGAUGACGGGCCUUCGGGUUGUAAACCUCUUUCAAUCUUGUACGAAGCCUUCGGGUGACGGUAGGGGUAGGAAGAAGCACCGGCCAACUACGUGCC
RNAcentral lists this ribosomal RNA (471 nucleotides) under uncultured bacterium. RNAcentral's name for it is "bacterial SSU rRNA". It matches the Rfam family "Bacterial small subunit ribosomal RNA", at positions 28 to 509 of the family's 1533-position model. The record is from RNAcentral.